AAUAGGAAGCAUUAUGAUCAUUCCUGUGUCUACAGUUAGAUUUAUUUGUGAGCCUGAGAACACCCUCUCUGAGGUUUUUUUUUUUUUUUUUUCUGAGAUGGUGUUUCGCUCUUGUUGCCCAGGCUGGAGUGCAGUGGUGCGAUCUCGGCUCACUGCAACAUCCACCUCCGGGGUUCAAGCGAUUCUCCUGCCUCAGCCCCAUAAGUAGCUGGGGUUACAGGCACCCAUCACCACAACCAGCUAUUUUUUUUUUAUUUUUAGUAGAGAUGGGGUUUCACUAUGUUGACCAAGCUGGUCUUGAACUCCUGCCCUCAGGAGAUUCAUCCACCUUGGCCUCCCAAAGUUCUGUGAUUACAGGCGUGAGCCACCGUGCCUGGCCUCCUUCUUGAGUCUGAAUGGGGCAGGGAGGAGUGCUGAAGUGCUGUCACAAAUCCCUGAUAACCCAUUGGAAAAUCUAUAAAGGUGGAGUCACACCCCAGGGACCCUAUCCAGUGGUUGCGAGUUCUGUUUUUCUACCCAGUGAUAGAGCCAGACUGUUUUUAUGACAUUGUGAUCCAGCCAGCUCUUUGCUAUAAUCAAUGUUUCCAUUCUUUUCCAAAAUAAACAUGUGGACGGUCAUUUCCAAACAGAGAAAUGAAAGUUUUCCAUUCCUAGGUGCAGUGCAUAUAGUUUUGCAAACAAAGAAUUCAGAAAAGGAAUGUAAUCUAAUCUCUGGUGACUUUGUAAUUUGUCUGGGGCAUUAGAUCUUGGAAGAUAAUUCUUUUCUUUCAUUGAGAUUCAGGUAAAUUCCCCCCCACCCCAACCCCCAACCUCCUUUCUGGCUUCGUACAGACUUAUCAAGCAGAAUGGCUUAAAGACAAUAGGACCUUAUUGUAUCACAUUUCAGGAAUGAGCAAUGAGGAAACAGGAGCCAAGCCUGGAAAUGAACAUGUCCUUGUGAAUGACCAAGAGAAGAUAGGAGUUAAAAUAUGCAACUGUUAUGGUGCCAGAAAAUUGUCUGCCCUCUUUGAACGAACUGGAAUUACCACAGCUCCCAGCCUUCAGCAACCACUACCCAGAUCAGUCAGUAGCCAUCAACACUGA
RNAcentral lists this long non-coding RNA (1083 nucleotides) under Callithrix jacchus (white-tufted-ear marmoset). Its description in RNAcentral is "lncRNA (ENSCJAG00000075051.1)". The record is from RNAcentral. Lineage: Eukaryota; Metazoa; Chordata; Mammalia; Primates; Cebidae.